Molecule: ribosomal RNA, 266 nt
Filed under: uncultured bacterium
Lineage: Bacteria
Description: partial 16S ribosomal RNA
Rfam family: Bacterial small subunit ribosomal RNA
Source: RNAcentral
GUCCUGGCCUUAAACGAUGGAUGCUUGGUGUCUGGGGUUUAUAGUCCCCGGGUGCCGCAGCUAACGCGUUAAGCAUCCCGCCUGGGGAGUACGGUCGCAAGACUGAAACUCAAAGGAAUUGACGGGACCCGCACAAGCGGUGGAGCAUGUGGUUCAAUUCGACGCAACGCGAAGAACCUUACCUGGGCUAGAAUGCCUCUGACAACUCCAGAGAUGGAGCCUCUUAGGGAACUUAGGCAGAGUGCAAGGUGCUGCAUGGCUGUCGU